Bombus impatiens (common eastern bumble bee) is the source of this 1262-nucleotide long non-coding RNA. RefSeq lists it as uncharacterized. The transcript is spliced from 2 exons. The record is from RefSeq and is a predicted model, not a curated record. Lineage: Eukaryota; Metazoa; Arthropoda; Insecta; Hymenoptera; Apidae.
GCUGUUUUUGUCAAAUGGAAUAUUCAAUUUUUCAUGUUUAAAUUCGAUAGAAUAACGAGCUCUUAGCAUAGAAGUACUAAGGCAUAUUUGUCCUAAAAUUUAUCGUACCCGAGAUACUUGGCGUCAUUUGGCUUUUCGAUUGUGUAAUCAUGAAGUCAACCAAAUUAAAUUUCAUGCCAUUUCUUUUAUUUAUUUUAAUGAAAUAAUAAGAAUAUAAAUACAGUAGUAAUAUGAUAAUUGAACUCGAUACGAAAAUUAAAUACAGCGAAAUAACCUGAUCAUAUCUUGAUCAGUUUUUCUUAAACAACUGACCGAAACGUAGCACCGUUGAAGAAUACAGGAAAACGAGUUAUAUCAAUCUACUAAUUACCAUGAGACAACCAAUAACUGUGUGGUUAUAGAACAACAAAAUUUAUGUAUUUAAAAAUUUUUCACUUUGUCAAAAUUUCUACUUGAACCAAUUCUAAAAAAUAAUAAUAAAUUUUAACAAAUUCAUCUAUUAAUCAAAACUGAGACUUUAUGAAUUCUGUGAAUGAAAUUUAGUAGGAUUUAUAGUUGAUAUAAAAUGCUAGUGUACAAAUGGGAUGUUCUUCCAUGUUGACAAUUACAAAGAAUGCUAAAGCUAAAGCGGCGGUUCUUAACCUUUUGUUUACCACGAACUUUCCUUUACAUAAUUUUUCGUUGCCGUGGAUCUCCAAGACUUACUUCAAAAUUUAAAUAAGUUAAUUCAAGAUCUAAUGUGUCAAAUAUGUAUGUAGUUAUUAUAUUCAUCAACUGCUCAUCAACAACCUUCAAAUUUGAAGAAGAGAGAUUCAUUAUAAAUCUAAUACAUAUACCAAAUAUUUUUUAUUCAAAUAAUACAUUAAUAAUCACAGGGUAAGAACCGUUAAACUUUAUUGCUAAUUAACAUGUGGAUGGCUACCCCUAGCGGGAUACCAUCUUCGAGUGAGAGUAUCUCAAUAUCCCAGACAGGCGUCACACUUGCAUUGGAAUUCGUUUAGCCCACGAUACAGCAAAGGGGAAGACUUCAUACAUGGCACCUUUCCUCAAGCAACACAAUGUUGCAUUUUAUACCAUAAAUAACAUUAUUUAGAACAUUAUAGCCAAAGAUCAGAAUUGUUGAACGAUAUUCAAAUUAUUAUUAAAGCUACUUCAGAAAAUAUGGUUUUAAGGAAAAUGCGUUUAACAUUUUCCUCAUCCUCAUACUAUCAGUUACUUGUGAUACAUAAUACAUACGAAAAUAAAACAUUUUUAAUUCAUAA